UUAGUGGCAGACGGGUGAGUAACAUGUAGGUAUCUGCCCUUUGGCCUGGAAUAACACGAGGAAGCUUGUGCUAAUACCGGAUAAGUCUUUACGGAGAAAGCUUUAUGCACCAUUGGAUGAGCCUGCACUUGAUUAGUUUGUUGGUGGGGUAAUGGCCUACCAAGACUGUGAUCAAUAGCUGAUUUGAGAGGAUGAUCAGCCACAUUGGGACUGAGACACGGCCCAAACUCCUACGGGAGGCAGCAGUGGGGAAUCUUGCACAAUGGAGGAAACUCUGAUGCAGCGAUGCCGCGUGAGUGAAGAAGGCCCUUGGGUUGUAAAGCUCUUUCGUCGGGGAAGAAAAUGACUGUACCCGAAUAAGAAGGUCCGGCUAACUUCGUGCCAGCAGCCGCGGUAAUACGAAGGGACCUAGCGUAGUUCGGAAUUACUGGGCUUAAAGAGUUCGUAGGUGGUUGAAAAAGUUGGUGGUGAAAUCCCAGAGCUUAACUCUGGAACUGCCAUCAAAACUUUUCAGCUAGAGUAUGAUAGAGGAAAGCAGAAUUUCUAGUGUAGAGGUGAAAUUCGUAGAUAUUAGAAAGAAUACCAAUUGCGAAGGCAGCU
This 600-nucleotide ribosomal RNA is filed under the name uncultured Alphaproteobacteria bacterium. RNAcentral's name for it is "bacterial SSU rRNA". It matches the Rfam family "Bacterial small subunit ribosomal RNA", at positions 92 to 726 of the family's 1533-position model. Lineage: Bacteria; Pseudomonadati; Pseudomonadota; Alphaproteobacteria. The record is from RNAcentral.